GACGAACGCUGGCGGCGUGCUUAACACAUGCAAGUCGAACGGAAAGGCCCUGCUUUUGUGGGGUGCUCGAGUGGCGAACGGGUGAGUAACACGUGAGUAACCUGCCCUUGCCUUUGGGAUAACUUCAGGAAACUGGGGCUAAUACCGGAUAGGAGCUCCUGCUGCAUGGUGGGGGUUGGAUAGUUUCGGCGGUUGGGGAUGGACUCGCGGCUUAUCUGCUUGUUUGUGGGGUAGUGGCUUACCAAGGCUUUGACGGGUAGCCGGCCUGAGAGGGUGAACGGCCACAUUGGGACUGAGAUACGGAGCAGACUGCGACGGGAGGCAGCAGUGGGGAAUAAUGCAGAAGGGGCGGAAGCGUGAGGGAGCAACGGGGCGUGCGGGAGGACGGCCUUCGGGUUGGAAACGGAGGACGGCUGUGACGAAGCGUGAGUGACGGUAAUGGGUAAAGAAGGACCGGCUAACUACGUG
Molecule: ribosomal RNA, 468 nt
Filed under: uncultured bacterium
Lineage: Bacteria
Description: partial 16S ribosomal RNA
Rfam family: Bacterial small subunit ribosomal RNA
Source: RNAcentral